RNAcentral lists this ribosomal RNA (488 nucleotides) under uncultured bacterium. Its description in RNAcentral is "bacterial SSU rRNA". It matches the Rfam family "Bacterial small subunit ribosomal RNA", at positions 33 to 507 of the family's 1533-position model. The record is from RNAcentral.
GACGACGCUGGCGGCGUGGAUUAGGCAUGCAAGUCGAACGGUAGGAUACCUUCGGGUAUCUGAGAGUGGCGAACGGGUGAGUAACACGUAGGUGAUCUACCCUCAAGAUUGGGGACAACCCAGGGAAACUUGGGCUAAUACCGGAUGAAAGCAGCAGUGAUGUUGUUUGAAAGGUGGCGUAAGCUGCCGUUUGGGGAUGAGCCUGCGCUCUAUUAGUUAGUUGGCGGGGUAAAGGCCCACCAAGGCGAUGAUAGAUAGGCGGCCUUAACGGGUGGUCGCCCACACUGGGAUUGAGAUACGGCCCAGACUCCUACGGGAGGCAGCAGUCGAGAAUAGUCUACAAUGGCCGAAAGGCUGAUAGUGCGACGCCGCGUGAACGAAGAAGCCCUUCGGGGUGUAAAGUUCUUUUAUAUGUGAGCAGUGCUUUCUAUGUGAACAGCAUGGGGAGAGAGAUAUUAGCAUAUGAAUAAGCAACGGCUAACUCCGUG